UAGCUGUAAAUUUAGUUUCGACCUAAUAUUACUUGUGUGCAAGACAGUUGG
RNAcentral lists this transfer RNA (51 nucleotides) under Liposcelis bostrychophila. RNAcentral describes it as "tRNA-Arg". The record is from RNAcentral. Lineage: Eukaryota; Metazoa; Arthropoda; Insecta; Psocodea; Liposcelididae.